RNAcentral lists this ribosomal RNA (677 nucleotides) under Bacillus licheniformis. RNAcentral describes it as "bacterial SSU rRNA". Lineage: Bacteria; Bacillati; Bacillota; Bacilli; Caryophanales; Bacillaceae. The record is from RNAcentral.
GGUAACCUGCCUGUAAGACUGGGAUAACUCCGGGAAACCGGGGCUAAUACCGGAUGCUUGAUUGAACCGCAUGGUUCAAUYAUAAAAGGUGGCUUUCAGCUACCACUUGCAGAUGGACCCGCGGCGCAUUAGCUAGUUGGUGAGGUAACGGCUCACCAAGGCGACGAUGCGUAGCCGACCUGAGAGGGUGAUCGGCCACACUGGGACUGAGACACGGCCCAGACUCCUACGGGAGGCAGCAGUAGGGAAUCUUCCGCAAUGGACGAAAGUCUGACGGAGCAACGCCGCGUGAGUGAUGAAGGUUUUCGGAUCGUAAAACUCUGUUGUUAGGGAAGAACAAGUACCGUUCGAAUAGGGCGGYACCUUGACGGUACCUAACCAGAAAGCCACGGCUAACUACGUGCCAGCAGCCGCGGUAAUACGUAGGUGGCAAGCGUUGUCCGGAAUUAUUGGGCGUAAAGCGCGCGCAGGCGGUUUCUUAAGUCUGAUGUGAAAGCCCCCGGCUCAACCGGGGAGGGUCAUUGGAAACUGGGGAACUUGAGUGCAGAAGAGGAGAGUGGAAUUCCACGUGUAGCGGUGAAAUGCGUAGAGAUGUGGAGGAACACCAGUGGCGAAGGCGACUCUCUGGUCUGUAACUGACGCUGAGCGCGAAAGCGUGGGGAGCGAACAGGAUUAGA